This 334-nucleotide ribosomal RNA is filed under the name uncultured Anaerolineaceae bacterium. RNAcentral's name for it is "bacterial SSU rRNA". It matches the Rfam family "Bacterial small subunit ribosomal RNA", at positions 1034 to 1382 of the family's 1533-position model. Lineage: Bacteria; Bacillati; Chloroflexota; Anaerolineae; Anaerolineales; Anaerolineaceae. The record is from RNAcentral.
ACAGGUGUUGCAUGGCUGUCGUCAGCUCGUGUCGUGAGAUGUUCGGUUAAGUCCGCUAACGAGCGCAACCCUCGCUGUGUGUUAUAUGUGUCACACAGGACUGCUGGUAUUAAGCCGGAGGAAGGUGGGACGACGUCAAGUCAGCAUGACCUUUAUAUCCAGGGCUACACACACGCUACAAUGGUCAGUACAAUGGGUUGCCAAGCCGCGAGGCGGAGCCAAUCCUAAAAAGCUGGCCUCAGUUCAGAUUGCAGUCUGAAACUCGACUGCAUGAAGUCGGAGUUGCUAGUAAACGCAGGUCAGCUAUACUGCGUUGAAUACGUUCCCGGGGCUU